CGGGAUAUAGCUUAGUGGUGCAGCGCCUGCCUGGCAAGCAUGAGGUCUUGAGUUUGAUUCCUGGUACCCCCA
RNAcentral lists this transfer RNA (72 nucleotides) under Cavia porcellus (domestic guinea pig). It matches the Rfam family "tRNA". Rfam says of the family: Transfer RNA (tRNA) molecules are approximately 80 nucleotides in length. The record is from Rfam by way of RNAcentral. Lineage: Eukaryota; Metazoa; Chordata; Mammalia; Rodentia; Caviidae.